This 447-nucleotide ribosomal RNA is filed under the name uncultured bacterium. Its description in RNAcentral is "bacterial SSU rRNA". It matches the Rfam family "Bacterial small subunit ribosomal RNA", at positions 355 to 825 of the family's 1533-position model. The record is from RNAcentral.
UCGGGAAUUUUGGGCAAUGGGCGAAAGCCUGACCCAGCAACGCCGCGUGAAGGAUGAAGUAUUUCGGUAUGUAAACUUCGAAAGAAUAGGAAGAAUCAAUGACGGUACUAUUUAUAAGGUCCGGCUAACUACGUGCCAGCAGCCGCGGUAAUACGUAGGGACCAAGCGUUGUUCGGAUUUACUGGGCGUAAAGGGCGCGUAGGCGGCGCGGUAAGUCACUUGUGAAAUCUCUGAGCUUAACUCAGAACGGCCAAGUGAUACUGCAGUGCUAGAGUGCGGAAGGGGCAAUCGGAAUUCUUGGUGUAGCGGUGAAAUGCGUAGAUAUCAAGAGGAACACCUGAGGUGAAGACGGGUUGCUGGGCCGACACUGACGCUGAGGCGCGAAAGCCAGGGGAGCAAACGGGAUUAGAUACCCAAGUAGUCCCUGAGCGGGCUGGCAAGGCGCAU